AGCGGCGGACGGGUGAGUAACACGUGGGUAACCUGCCCAAGAGACUGGGAUAACACCUGGAAACAGAUGCUAAAACCGGAUAACAACACUAGACGCAUGUCUAGAGUUUGAAAGAUGGUUCUGCUAUCACUCUUGGAUGGACCUGCGGUGCAUUAGCUAGUUGGUAAGGUAACGGCUUACCAAGGCAAUGAUGCAUAGCCGAGUUGAGAGACUGAUCGGCCACAUUGGGACUGAGACACGGCCCAAACUCCUACGGGAGGCAGCAGUAGGGAAUCUUCCACAAUGGACGAAAGUCUGAUGGAGCAACGCCGCGUGAGUGAAGAAGGGUUUCGGCUCGUAAAGCUCUGUUGGUAGUGAAGAAAGAUAGAGGUAGUAACUGGCCUUUAUUUGACGGUAAUUACUUAGAAAGUCACGGCUAACUACGUGCCAGCAGCCGCGGUAAUACGUAGGUGGCAAGCGUUGUCCGGAUUUAUUGGGCGUAAAGCGAGUGCAGGCGGUUCAAUAAGUCUGAUGUGAAAGCCUUCGGCUCAACCGGAGAAUUGCAUCAGAAACUGUUGAACUUGAGUGCAGAAGAGGAGAGUGGAACUCCAUGUGUAGCGGUGGAAUGCGUAGAUAUAUGGAAGAACACCAGUGGCGAAGGCGGCUCUCUGGUCUGCAACUGACGCUGAGGCUCGAAAGCAUGGGUAGCGAACAGGAUUAGAUACCCUGGUAGUCCAUGCCGUAAACGAUGAGUGCUAAGUGU
Molecule: ribosomal RNA, 742 nt
Filed under: uncultured bacterium
Lineage: Bacteria
Description: bacterial SSU rRNA
Rfam family: Bacterial small subunit ribosomal RNA
Source: RNAcentral